ACGGGUGAGCAACACGUAUGCAAUCCACCUGUAACAGGGGGAUAACCCGGAGAAAUCCGGACUAAUACCCCAUAAUAUGGGCGCUCCGCAUGGAGAGCCCAUUAAAGAGAGCAAUUUUGGUUACAGACGAGCAUGCGCUCCAUUAGCCAGUUGGCGGGGUAACGGCCCACCAAAGCGACGAUGGAUAGGGGUUCUGAGAGGAAGGUCCCCCACAUUGGAACUGAGACACGGUCCAA
RNAcentral lists this ribosomal RNA (236 nucleotides) under uncultured bacterium. RNAcentral describes it as "partial 16S ribosomal RNA". It matches the Rfam family "Bacterial small subunit ribosomal RNA", at positions 102 to 334 of the family's 1533-position model. The record is from RNAcentral.